UGUGAGCUCGAUGAGUAGGGCGGGACACGUGGUAUCCUGUCUGAAUAUGGGGGGACCAUCCUCCAAGGCUAAAUACUCCUGACUGACCGAUAGUGAACCAGUACCGUGAGGGAAAGGCGAAAAGAACCCCGGCGAGGGGAGUGAAAAAGAACCUGAAACCGUGUACGUACAAGCAGUGGGAGCACGCUUAGGCGUGUGACUGCGUACCUUUUGUAUAAUGGGUCAGCGACUUAUAUUCUGUAGCAAGGUUAACCGAAUAGGGGAGCCGAAGGGAAACCGAGUCUUAACUGGGCGUUAAGUUGCAGGGUAUAGACCCGAAACCCGGUGAUCUAGCCAUGGGCAGGUUGAAGGUUGGGUAACACUAACUGGAGGACCGAACCGACUAAUGUUGAAAAAUUAGCGGAUGACUUGUGGCUGGGGGUGAAAGGCCAAUCAAACCGGGAGAUAGCUGGUUCUCCCCGAAAGCUAUUUAGGUAGCGCCUCGUGAAUUCAUCUCCGGGGGUAGAGCACUGUUUCGGCAAGGGGGUCAUCCCGACUUACCAACCCGAUGCAAACUGCGAAUACCGGAGAAUGUUAUCACGGGAGACACACGGCGGGUGCUAACGUCCGUCGUGAAGAGGGAAACAACCCAGACCGCCAGCUAAGGUCCCAAAGUCAUGGUUAAGUGGGAAACGAUGUGGGAAGGCCCAGACAGCCAGGAUGUUGGCUUAGAAGCAGCCAUCAUUUAAAGAAAGCGUAAUAGCUCACUGGUCGAGUCGGCCUGCGCGGAAGAUGUAACGGGGCUAAACCAUGCACCGAAGCUGCGGCAGCGACACUAUGUGUUGUUGGGUAGGGGAGCGUUCUGUAAGCCUGUGAAGGUGUACUGUGAGGUAUGCUGGAGGUAUCAGAAGUGCGAAUGCUGACAUAAGUAACGAUAAAGCGGGUGAAAAGCCCGCUCGCCGGAAGACCAAGGGUUCCUGUCCAACGUUAAUCGGGGCAGGGUGAGUCGACCCCUAAGGCGAGGCCGAAAGGCGUAGUCGAUGGGAAACAGGUUAAUAUUCCUGUACUUGGUGUUACUGCGAAGGGGGGACGGAGAAGGCUAUGUUGGCCGGGCGACGGUUGUCCCGGUUUAAGCGUGUAGGCUGGUUUUCCAGGCAAAUCCGGAAAAUCAAGGCUGAGGCGUGAUGACGAGGCACUACGGUGCUGAAGCAACAAAUGCCCUGCUUCCAGGAAAAGCCUCUAAGCAUCAGGUAACAUCAAAUCGUACCCCAAACCGACACAGGUGGUCAGGUAGAGAAUACCAAGGCGCUUGAGAGAACUCGGGUGAAGGAACUAGGCAAAAUGGUGCCGUAACUUCGGGAGAAGGCACGCUGAUAUGUAGGUGAAGCGACUUGCUCGUGGAGCUGAAAUCAGUCGAAGAUACCAGCUGGCUGCAACUGUUUAUUAAAAACACAGCACUGUGCAAACACGAAAGUGGACGUAUACGGUGUGACGCCUGCCCGGUGCCGGAAGGUUAAUUGAUGGGGUUAGCGCAAGCGAAGCUCUUGAUCGAAGCCCCGGUAAACGGCGGCCGUAACUAUAACGGUCCUAAGGUAGCGAAAUUCCUUGUCGGGUAAGUUCCGACCUGCACGAAUGGCGUAAUGAUGGCCAGGCUGUCUCCACCCGAGACUCAGUGAAAUUGAACUCGCUGUGAAGAUGCAGUGUACCCGCGGCAAGACGGAAAGACCCCGUGAACCUUUACUAUAGCUUGACACUGAACAUUGAGCCUUGAUGUGUAGGAUAGGUGGGAGGCUUUGAAGUGUGGACGCCAGUCUGCAUGGAGCCGACCUUGAAAUACCACCCUUUAAUGUUUGAUGUUCUAACGUGGACCCGUAAUCCGGGUUGCGGACAGUGUCUGGUGGGUAGUUUGACUGGGGCGGUCUCCUCCUAAAGAGUAACGGAGGAGCACGAAGGUUGGCUAAUCCUGGUCGGACAUCAGGAGGUUAGUGCAAUGGCAUAAGCCAGCUUGACUGCGAGCGUGACGGCGCGAGCAGGUGCGAAAGCAGGUCAUAGUGAUCCGGUGGUUCUGAAUGGAAGGGCCAUCGCUCAACGGAUAAAAGGUACUCCGGGGAUAACAGGCUGAUACCGCCCAAGAGUUCAUAUCGACGGCGGUGUUUGGCACCUCGAUGUCGGCUCAUCACAUCCUGGGGCUGAAGUAGGUCCCAAGGGUAUGGCUGUUCGCCAUUUAAAGUGGUACGCGAGCUGGGUUUAGAACGUCGUGAGACAGUUCGGUCCCUAUCUGCCGUGGGCGCUGGAGAAUUGAGGGGGGCUGCUCCUAGUACGAGAGGACCGGAGUGGACGCAUCACUGGUGUUCGGGUUGUCAUGCCAAUGGCACUGCCCGGUAGCUAAAUGCGGAAGAGAUAAGUGCUGAAAGCAUCUAAGCACGAAACUUGCCCCGAGAUGAGUUCUCCCUGACUCCUUGAGAGUCCUGAAGGAACGUUGAAGACGACGACGUUGAUAGGCCGGGUGUGUAAGCGCAGCGAUGCGUUGAGCUAACCGGUACUAAUGAACCGUGAGGCUUAACCUU
RNAcentral lists this ribosomal RNA (2546 nucleotides) under Escherichia coli. RNAcentral's name for it is "partial 23S ribosomal RNA". It matches the Rfam family "Bacterial large subunit ribosomal RNA", at positions 398 to 2925 of the family's 2925-position model. The record is from RNAcentral. Lineage: Bacteria; Pseudomonadati; Pseudomonadota; Gammaproteobacteria; Enterobacterales; Enterobacteriaceae.